CACCCAGCACCAGUGACCCCGCCAAACAGUCGGGUGUGACAGCUACAGCUGCCUGCUGCAAUGGCAGACUGAAGUGCCACGUAGUCCAGUCACAUUUUCUACGUGGAAGACGUGCGCACGUCACGUGCCCUCCAAACUACAUUAUGACCGGCUGCAACGCCUUUUCUGUUGAUGGAAAAUACAGAGGAGCCUUCACGGAAAGAGGUAUCUCUGUGUGCACUGCAGUCAGUGAGACAGGUGUAGGAGUCACAGCCUACGCCACGUGCUGCAUAGCGGGAUGAAGAUGACGCACGACAGUCACCAUGACGACCGCAGACGCGCGGCAAAACGCUCGUACAGCCUCGACUUAAUAUUCCAACAUUUUCUCUAAGAUGUUUUGUUGCUUAGAACAAGAUAGAAGACAGCAGUCGUGACCAUUGUGUUGAUCAGCAAAUAUAAAGAUGUUAAUCUGUCAGUCCCUUUGAGAUCCUAUGUGAACCGUUAACUUGUACCCUUUAGACCUCAGGGACAUGAUCACAAAGGCCACACUGACUGACAACUACUGAUGUUGCUUUGUUUACCUCAAUGACAUGAUCAUAAAAGUCACUAUGACUGUUGUUUAUUAAUGUUGAUUUUGUUUCUCAUCUUGCCUACUGUACUUUUCCUGUUGCUGUUAAUAAAGAAAAACAGU
Long non-coding RNA from Pomacea canaliculata, 670 nucleotides. RefSeq lists it as uncharacterized. The transcript has 3 exons. Lineage: Eukaryota; Metazoa; Mollusca; Gastropoda; Architaenioglossa; Ampullariidae. The record is from RefSeq and is a predicted model, not a curated record.